RNAcentral lists this ribosomal RNA (72 nucleotides) under Palpitomonas bilix. RNAcentral's name for it is "partial Trypanosomatid mitochondrial large subunit ribosomal RNA". The record is from RNAcentral.
ACUGGUACAAGCUGGAGCAAGCGCAUACUGCGUGAACGACAAGGCAACGGAGGACGAUGUGAAGACAGUGGA